This 736-nucleotide ribosomal RNA is filed under the name uncultured eukaryote. RNAcentral's name for it is "bacterial SSU rRNA". It matches the Rfam family "Eukaryotic small subunit ribosomal RNA", at positions 661 to 1404 of the family's 1831-position model. The record is from RNAcentral.
GUCAGGAAGCCCUUGGUUUUUACUUAUCGUUAUGCAAUCACUUUGCGCUAGGGUAGGGCAGAAGUGGUCACUCAAGAGGAAAGAUCUAAUCCAACUGUGAGUAAAUCAAAGUGAUCAAUACAGGCAUUGUACUCGGGUCCGCUCGAGAUCGCUUGAAUGAUUUAGCAUGGUAUUGGGUUCAUGCCGCAAGGCUAUAAACGGAAAACAGGUAGAGGGCUCAUGUAUUGUAUUGCUAGAGGUGAAAUUCAGAGAUCAAUACAAGACUAACAAACGCGAAGGCAGUUAUGCCCAUAACGUUUUCGUCAAUCAGGAACGAAAGUUGGGGGAUCGAAGGUGAUUAGAUACCACCGUAGUCCCAACCGUAAACUAUACCGACAGGAGAUUGGAUGAUGAUACCUUUCUCCAGAUCCUUUCAGAAUCUAAGGGAAACCGAAAGUCUCUAGGUUUUGGGGGGAGUAUGGUCGCAAGGCUGAAACUUAAAAGAAUUGACGGAAGAACACACCAGGAGUGGAGUUUGCGGCUUAAUUCGACUCAACACGGGAAAACUCACCAAGACCGGAUAACGAUCAGGAUUGACAGGUUAAAGUCCUUUCAUGAUUUCUUAUAUGGUGGUGCAUGGCCGUUCUUAGUACGUGGAUUGAUUUGUCUGGUUAAUUCCGAUAACGUACGAGACCUUAACAUAUUAAUUAGACGCUGUGGGGGCAACUCCAAUGCUUCUCGAAGCCGGCGUGACCAG